ACUCCUACGGGAGGCAGCAGUGGGGAAUAUUGCACAAUGGGCGCAAGCCUGAUGCAGCCAUGCCGCGUGUAUGAAGAAGGCCUUCGGGUUGUAAAGUACUUUCAGCAGUGAGGAAGGUGGAUAUGUUAAUAGCAUAUUCAUUUGACGUUAGCUGCAGAAGAAGCACCGGCUAACUCCGUGCCAGCAGCCGCGGUAAUACGGAGGGUGCGAGCGUUAAUCGGAAUUACUGGGCGUAAAGCGCAUGCAGGUGGUUUGUUAAGUCAGAUGUGAAAGCCCGGGGCUCAACCUCGGAAUUGCAUUUGAAACUGGCAAACUAGAGUACUGUAGAGGGGGGUAGAAUUUCAGGUGUAAGCGGUGAAAUGCGUAGAGAUCUGAAAGGAAUACCGGUGGCGAAGGCGGCCCCCUGGACAGAUACUGACACUCAGAUGCGAAAGCUGGGGAGCAAACAGGAUUAUAUACCCUGGUAGGCUCU
This 472-nucleotide ribosomal RNA is filed under the name uncultured bacterium. RNAcentral's name for it is "bacterial SSU rRNA". It matches the Rfam family "Bacterial small subunit ribosomal RNA", at positions 335 to 798 of the family's 1533-position model. The record is from RNAcentral.